AGCUUCGUUCAGGCCCGGCCGGGACUUGAUCAUCCUGGAAAUUAUAUCGCUGGCUCGUCCCACUUGGGGGAAAGCCAAUUACCUGGACUGGGAGCCAUUGGCAUCUCGUCCGGCCUCCCGCAGCCAGACAGGAACCCUGAGCUUCUGCUUCCAGCCUGGCCUGGCCUGUCCUAGAGAGUCCGCCUGGGUGAGGGGAGAGCCAGCCUGCGAGGGGCCCCUCCCACAGCCUGGCCUUUCCUGUGGGGCUGCAGUGGAACCUUCUCAUUUGCCUGAAAUGGAAAAAAGUCAAGCCCCGCAGCAGAAAAUGUCCGGGUUGCUGGAGGCGAAGGCUUCUGAAACACCGAACCAGCAAAAAGUGCCCGAGAGCCUCGGAGGGCCCGGGGGGCAAGGCCAGCGAGCCUGGUUUACAGAGAAGGAAAAAGAGGUUCCAAAGGGUGCCCCGAAGCCGGGAGGUCUGGGCUCAUCUCUGCCCCAGCGCGUCCCACAGCCUGGCCCCAGUUCUCAUCCCAAGGUCCCGAGUCCUGGACGGGGGCUCCCUGGGCCCUGAGCUCGGGGUGGGGGAGCCCAGCUCCUGGAUUUCUGCACGGUGGGCUGGG
RNAcentral lists this long non-coding RNA (596 nucleotides) under Sus scrofa (pig). RNAcentral describes it as "lncRNA (ENSSSCG00040065304.1)". Lineage: Eukaryota; Metazoa; Chordata; Mammalia; Artiodactyla; Suidae. The record is from RNAcentral.